AAAAAGAUAAGCUAAAAUUAAGCUUUCGGGUUCAUACCUCGAAUAUAAAGUAAUACUUUUCUUUUUA
RNAcentral lists this transfer RNA (67 nucleotides) under Negastrius sabulicola. Its description in RNAcentral is "tRNA-Met". The record is from RNAcentral. Lineage: Eukaryota; Metazoa; Arthropoda; Insecta; Coleoptera; Elateridae.